AUGGGCGGAGAGAUAUCACUCGAGUUGUCUGUUUCAUGUGUACAACAUCUAAAGACCUGCAUCACUAUACUGAGAGCUUUUCUGUUUUUAAAAGGAUGUACUGGGGCUCUGAACAAAUGUAUAUUUCAUUUUGUGCGACUCAAGCCGUCAAGCCCCUAUCCAGCUGUUCCAUUUUCUAUGUAGCCUGCUGCUAGAAUGGGCGGAGAGAUAUCACUCGAGUUGUCUGUUUCAUGUGUACAACAUCUAAAGACCUGCAUCACUAUACUGAGAGCUUUUCUGUUUUUAAAAGGAUGUAUUUGGGUUUUUCGGAGCCCCCGUACUGCACAUCGAGGAUAACGAAAAUGAAUCGCUCUUUGGGGUAAGUUUCUCAAAAACAAGUGAAAUCACCAAGUGUCUGGACAUGCCAUAUACAUUUUUUUUUAAUGAUUUGGUUGUAAAAAGCUAAAUUGUCUUUUAAGCUCUACACAUAUUCUUCUUGUGGUGUGUGUGUGUGUGUGUGUGUGUGUGUGUGUGGUGUGUGUGUGUGUGUGUGUGUGUGUGUGUGUGUGUGUGUGUGUGUGUGUGAACCUUCAACACUGGCUUGGGUGAGAAGUGUGUACAGUAUGUGUCACUUAUGGUUGAUUGUAUGACUGUUUAGAAGUGACCCAUUUGUAUAUAAUACAUAUAUGUGAAGCUUGGAUAGAUGGCCUUGUGUUGCGGAUGUGGUAGUGUUUGUAAGAUAAUUAACGAUAGCGAGUAUCUGUAUUUGGUGCAAACUACGCUAUAUUCUCACAUGCUUAAGUGUUCCAAUAAAGGACCAUGAAUGUACAUAAUUUGUGGUGUUGCUUCAUUUCACUUGAUUUUAAGGUGUAAGUGUGAAAAGUUAUUUUAUCAUCAAGGUUUGUGAUUAGCUAGCCUAUCUGCAAUUCAGUCACUGCAUUACUAACUUGCGGGAUUCCCAUUUAACCUCUAGAGCGUUUCGUUUCUAAAUGUCUGCGCAAGAGUGAAUGUUUCAUAGAGUUGUGAGAUAGUACUUUUGCACAUAUAACACACUGUGGCUGAGGAAUGGCACUACUCCCGAUAUAAGUGAACCCCAAACUAAUGUAGUUCUCAUCAUAUUUGCGCAUUUCUGAUGGUCAAACGUCCCUGUCUGUUGUUCGGGGCUUUCCCGGGUAAGGGGGCAGUAGCUCUUCGGCUGCAUUA
Molecule: long non-coding RNA, 1182 nt
Filed under: Oncorhynchus mykiss (rainbow trout)
Lineage: Eukaryota; Metazoa; Chordata; Actinopteri; Salmoniformes; Salmonidae
Description: lncRNA (ENSOMYG00000070184.1)
Source: RNAcentral